GGAAUAUUGGUCAAUGGACGCAAGUCUGAACCAGCCAUGCCGCGUGAAGGAUGACUGCCCUCUGGGUUGUAAACUUCAUUUCUCUGGGACUAAACCCAUCCUCUCUAGGGUGAUUUACGGUACCAUAGGCAAAAGCACCGGCGAACUCCGUGCCCGCAGCCGCGGUAAUACGGAGGGUGCAAGCGUUAUCCGGAUUUACUGGGUUUAAAGGGUGCGUAGGUGGAUUUGUAAGUCAGUGGUGAAAUCUCCGGGCUUAACCCGGAAACUGCCAUUGAUACUACAGGUCUUGAAUUAUCUGGAGGUAAGCGGAAUAUGUCAUGUAGCGGUGAAAUGCUUAGAUAUGACAUAGAACACCGAUUGCGAAGGCAGCUUACUACGGAUAUAUUGACACUGAGGCACGAAAGCGUGGGGAUCA
Molecule: ribosomal RNA, 415 nt
Filed under: uncultured bacterium
Lineage: Bacteria
Description: bacterial SSU rRNA
Rfam family: Bacterial small subunit ribosomal RNA
Source: RNAcentral